Long non-coding RNA from Dama dama (fallow deer), 2453 nucleotides. RefSeq lists it as uncharacterized. Lineage: Eukaryota; Metazoa; Chordata; Mammalia; Artiodactyla; Cervidae. The transcript is spliced from 3 exons. The record is from RefSeq and is a predicted model, not a curated record.
CAGAGAGCAAUAAAAAACGAAACCUAAAAUAGCUUAUGUAAAAAAAAAUUAUAGAAAUAACAUCAACAAUGGUCAUCUGAAAAGUGAAAAGAGAGCUAAUUUGAAAAAGCUGAAGGAAAAUCUUUUUGUACUAAUCUCUUUCUGCACAUGGGAUAUACCUUUCUUGGUGUCCCGUCAUAACCCAAAUACUGAAGAUAGAGAGGAGCCUUUAAGAUCAUUAAUAGCCAUCUUUCUAAAGAUGAAGAUGCAGAAGACCAUGGAGAUUAAGCAGCCUGAUCCAGAGAGAUGCCAGAAAUCAAUGUUUCAUCUUCAUCUCCUGAAUGAUAAAGAAAAAUAAGUUAAAGAGCAAAAUGGAUUGAAUACAGAGCCAUCUAUAAAGGAGGUACCCCUGCUCAAUGUGAAAUGGUGGAAAAGAACAAGCCUUUUGUAACAUAACAUAGAUGGAACCAGAAAUUGAAAGGUGCUAUUUGCAUAUGUUGGAAUAGACUGAUGGUGUUCAAAGAAAAAAAAAAAGAGCAUUAUUCAAAUUUUCUUCAUUUUUUCCUUAGAAAUUUCUGGUAAAACAGCGUUUAACUUCUAGUAAAGUAUUUUCAAAUAAUAUACUUAAAAAAAUAGCCUCUUGCUUUCUAGAAGAUACACAAUGAGAAAAGCAAAAACAGGCAUCAUAUUCUAUAUGAUGUUUUAGCAUAUAAGUGUCAUUCACUUAUUGUGGGAAAAAAUGUAUAAAAGAAUUAACAUUGCUUUAAAGACAAAGUGUUUUGGAAGAUGCACGGAUAUUUGUCACUAGUUUAAUUAAUGUUGAUUAAUUUGUAUUUACACUGAUUUUACUUAUUAUUUUUAAGAUACUGCUCUCUUAAAGACUUCAAAAUGUUUUGGCAAUUAAUACUUUAUGUGCUAAAUGCUAUACUAGUGGGUAAAAUAGUUGUAUUCUGUUGUAUUAGCAAGAUAAGAAGUAAUACAUAGAGGAAUACAUCUUUUUCAUCCAGAAAACUCAGGAUUCAGAAAUAUUUCUCUGCCUGCUUCUGCCUCAUUUCUUUCCAUCGGACAGGUGAUAAAUGACAUCCAAAUAGAUUCUGCAAUUUUCAAAACGCGAAUGAUUUGCUUCCUCAUUAAUGUUUGGAUGAGACACAUUUAUAACAGUGCUUCCCAUCCUUUGACAUAGACUAUAAGCCCAAAGAAAUGUUUGGAAGAAACAGAUCUCUCGUAUGCAAAUAUUUCCAAUUAUUAAAUUUAGUUCUUAUUCUUGAUCUUUAAGAAUGACUUUGAACAACCAACAUAAACUUGAUGUUCUGUCUCUGCAUAAUAGUACCUAAGUAAGAACCGUGAUGUUUUGUCAGAGAAAGCCAUACUUAUUUGCAAUAAGUAAAUGAAAAAAAACACUGAAUCAUCUUAAUCUUUCAGAGAGGACUGUGAGGAGAUUUUCUUAGAUUUGCAAAAUCUUUCUUUUCUUUCCAAAGGUCAUGCUCAGCUCACCACAGUUUCUGUUGCUAUUUUUCCUUUGUAUUAUUUUCCCUAGUAUUCCUUUUCAGUACUUUCUGAGUUGCUCAGUUUUAUGCUUCGGCUGCUAUGUCAGUUUUUUGUCCGACUCUUCGUGACCCGAUGGACUGCAGCCUGCCAGAUUCCUUUGUCCAUGGGAUUCUCCAGGCAAGGAUACCAGAGUACUUGUCAUGCCCUCCUCCAGGAGAUAUUCCUGACCCAGGGAUGGAAGCCCAUCUCUUUCCUCCCUCGUUGCAGGCAGAUUCUUUAGCGCUGAGCCACCAGGGAAGCCCAUUUGGUUUUAUAGGUCUUCUACAACUCAGGAAGAGGCAUUUUCUAAUCCUUAGUCCCUUCCAGAAAUGAGCUGGAGUAAUGAGCUGGCAUUGCAGAACCACUGAGCACAGUAUUUUUGUUUGUUGUACUUAUUUUCUUACGGCAACCUAGUCCUCUCGCAGACAGAGCCUAAUGUCUCCACUGAAACACUGGCAUCAAAAAUAAACUUUUCCCUCCUCCUUCUUUGUGAAAAAGACUUUCACUUGAUUUGGGGGAAAAUGUUAGAUACCAUGGUAACUGAAUUUUAUAUUGACAAUUGUGCCUAGGAGAAAUGGGAGCAUUUGAAUAGUGUCUAAAUUCAAAUGAGUGAGGUCCAUGGCCUAGAGGUGUUCAACCAAACAGACCCCUCAUUAUUUUGUUCAUACUCUAACAAAGCUUUUUAAAAGCCCAGUGUUGUUAACUUUUUUAUCUUUAUUCACUCACUCAUCUUUGAGUAAUUACAUUUCAUUCAUUUUUGUGCAUGGCAAUAAAUGUUUGUAAAUGUAAAUACAUUUUUUUUAUUUCAUAUAUGUGUUUUAUCUAUGAAAUGGAUUAUCCAUAAUAAAUUUAUUAUAUUAGUCUGGCUACUUUCUAAACGCAAAGUACUUCUGAAAAACCUUGUCUUGCUAUUAGAUAGCAUAUAUACCUGAUGGAUGAAAGUUAGA